Molecule: long non-coding RNA, 487 nt
Filed under: Felis catus (domestic cat)
Lineage: Eukaryota; Metazoa; Chordata; Mammalia; Carnivora; Felidae
Description: lncRNA (ENSFCAG00000053864.1)
Source: RNAcentral
CAGCUUUAGACAUUGAUAUCUACAAAUCAUGCUUAAAAGUUCUCCUUCUUAUAAGAAAAUCAUGAAAUAAGGAUGGAAUAAUGAUCAUAACUGAAAGAGAAGUUUGACAGUAUCUCUCAGCAAAAACAUCCUCAACUUUUGUAUCUUCAACUUGUUUGCUGUUGAUCAGUUGUAGUUCUGGAAAACUGAACAAUGAACUUAACUGAACAAGGAGUCCAUGAAUUCCUCAUCCACCAUGAUAUGUUCUCCUUAAAUGACCAACUUAAAGAAUUUCUUCACUCCUGUGUGCACUCUCGUCCCUUGUCUGGUAUGGAGAGUGUCAUUGUUGACAGGGUGUCACAGCAGCACCAACAUUUUGCUGACCAGCCAGAUGGGUUUUGACAGUUUCACUGAAAAAGGACACAGUGUGAUCAAGAUACCAAUAUUAAGAGUGAAUAAGCUCAACUAAGACCUAUAAUAAAUGAUUCUGGAGCCAUAUUAAGUUCCA